This is a non-coding RNA of Crucibulum laeve, 98 nucleotides long. The record is from the annotation of a GenBank genome assembly. NCBI's taxonomy places the organism in Eukaryota, Fungi, Basidiomycota, Agaricomycetes, Agaricales, Nidulariaceae.
GCAUUAAUGGGGUAGUGGUAACCUGGGUCGUUGCCAUUAGAAACUUGUCUUGUUUGUAUAAGCUCGACCCGCCGGGGGUUCAAUUCCCUCUUAAUGCA